This 510-nucleotide ribosomal RNA is filed under the name Helophorus arvernicus. Its description in RNAcentral is "partial 16S ribosomal RNA". The stretch from base 386 to 510 matches the Rfam family "Bacterial large subunit ribosomal RNA", at positions 2473 to 2597 of the family's 2925-position model. Lineage: Eukaryota; Metazoa; Arthropoda; Insecta; Coleoptera; Helophoridae. The record is from RNAcentral.
GUCUUUUUGAUAAUAAUUUAAAGUUUGACCUGCUCAAUGAAGAUUAAAUAGCUGCAGUAUUUUGACUGUACAAAGGUAGCAUAAUAAAUAGUUUCUUAAUUAGAAGCUGGUAUGAAUGGUUGGACGAGAUAAUUUCUGUCUCUUUAAAAAUUUUUUUGAAUUUUAUUUUUAAGUUAAAAAGCUUAAAUUUUUUUUAUAGACGAGAAGACCCUAUAGAGUUUUAUUAAAUUUGGAAUUUGUAUUAUUAGGAAAGUUUAUUUUUUUAAAUUUUAAAUUUAAUUUUAUUGGGGUGAUGUAAAAAUUUAAUAAACUUUUUAAUUUUUAUUUCAUUUAUUUAUGUUUGUUUGAUCCAAUAUUUUUGAUUAUUAGAGUAAAUUACCUUAGGGAUAACAGCGUAAUUUUUUUAGAGAGUUCUAAUCGAUAAAAAAGUUUGCGACCUCGAUGUUGGAUUAAAAUUAAAAUUUGGUGUAGAAGCUAAAUAAUUUAGGUCUGUUCGACCUUUAAAAUUUU